Molecule: long non-coding RNA, 18979 nt
Organism: Bombus huntii
Lineage: Eukaryota; Metazoa; Arthropoda; Insecta; Hymenoptera; Apidae
Exons: 2
Source: RefSeq, a predicted model, not a curated record
GCGGAGAACGCGAAUCCCGCGACCUGUGAACCACUCUUAAUAUAUCGUGCCAUCGCGUCAAAGGCGUCGCUUUGACCAGCUUGCCUGUCCACCAAGACUCAGCCGAGUUUAACGAUGUUAACAACGCCGGCAUUCUACCGAAAGAGGCCUCGCUAAACUGGAACGUUCGUCUCUUAUUCCGGUCCGCGCUUAUUACUCUAGAAUCGAACAGGAUAAGCGAACACUGUUUCCUGUUACACAUAGAUAUCGAUUUUAGGUUCAACAGAUCGACUGCUUAGUUUUGUCAAUUUCCUGUUUCUUUCCUGUUUAACUUCCCCGCGCGAUAAUCUUUCGAGCUUAGUAAAUGAAUAUGAAAGUUUGGUUAAUUUUUCAAUAGGAAUUGUUGGUCGAUGGUUGAGAAUCCCUGCUUGAGGGAAUCGUACUGAUAAGAAUGAAUUAUGCAGAUGAAUGUUGCGGCGAUGUCGCCGAUGUAUCAAACCGCCUCAACUAGCUCAUUCUCCUUCGUUAUCUAUUCGUUGACGAGCCCGACGUGCGCGACGUGAUCGUGGACCAGAAAUCCGGACUGUUCCCAUGUUCCACUUAUAGCAUUUGGUCCAAUCGCACGCGUCUGACUUUAGACGAUGUCUGAUAGCCCUAAAAUCAACACCAGGCUCGAUCCUACUGACGCAAACAUCCCUAUCAGCCCUGCAAUUCGUCACGAAUGAAAAUCGCGAGGCUACAUAUCUAAAUGAAACAUGAUCUAUGCGCUUACGACUUUAGGUUCCACGUUUAAAUUGGUACUUAUGGGAUGUUCAGUGGAUGUGGAUUCGUCGAAUAGAUAGCAAAAUCCCAUUCAUUGACAAAUUCAAAAUGAUCCAGAUGAUACCUAGGUCUCGCGGGCAUAUGCAAAUAUAUAUUUGCGCUGAUUAUCUACUUUCAGCACUUUGAACGAAAGAAAUAAAUUGAACAAACUAUGUGAUAUUUAUCUAAGCAGAUAUUAUUUGUACAAGACUAGGAACUCGAGGAACAAAUAACAAACUUCCAAGCAUUAACAAAUGGACAGAAUGAUUGUCGAAUGAUUGUCGACAGAAUGUCGUAAUAUAUUUGGGUUGAUUACUGUCAGCGAUACAGAUGAAAGAAAUAGAUAGAAUAAACUACGCAAUGUACUGCCAAUAAUUAACGAAAAAAUAAAGGAAAAAUUCUUCAUUUCCAUUUGUUUGUGAAAGAAAUAAAUAACAUAAAUUAGAACAAGAAACAAUAACACAAAUGUUGCAACUAGAUAGCACAGAAUACCAACACAAGAUUAAACAUGGCAAUAGAUUGCGUACGAGGUAUUUAACGUAUACGAGGAAAUUUCGAGGACGGAGAGACGGCUCAUGACGGUUCGUCAAGCCCUGGCCAAAAUGCCUGGCGCUCCGCACAGUGCCCGAAAAGGCGGUCGCCUCGAGUCCAGCAAGGUAACCGUUAAUGAUCUUCAAACAAGUCUCGCGUCAAUUUCGAGCGGGCAAUUCGGUGAGACUGGACUAACAGGUGGAAUAAAGGCAACGUAACGAGCCCGAGGUGUAGCCUGAAACGAGCUCGUGGUUGUUAGACUUCUAGAAGCACGAGGCCCGAGAGAAAAAGGUAAAAAGGCAAGAGGGAAAGAGAAGAGCCAGGCGAAGGUGACGAUAGAUCAUUAGGUAGUUGACUUGGUUUAAGUAACGGUGGCUAAUUAUCCCGGCGAGAGUUAAUAACCUAGCGAAAGGAAGAAGCCGAGGGAGGUCACGAGACUGGCAUGUCGAUAUUCGAUUCUACUUGGCCGGGGAUCUCUCCGGGCUGGCAUCGAAGCACGUUACAAAAGUCCGAGUGGCGGAACAGAACGAAGAGAAGAAGGAAAAGGGGGCGCGAGUGGGAAAGGUAAGGAGGGAGGUGACUUAAUGAUGCCGCAUCCGGGAGUCGCCAGGACAUUGUACCGCGCAAAAAAGGAUCUUAUAACGCGUUCACAGCUGGACCCGCAUUCUACGUUCCCCGUGUUCGAAUGGGAGACCCCGAUCCAUUAACGACCCGACGCAAACAUUAAUAAUCCGCAGCUUCGCCUCGAUUGCCGUGCGGACGCGAGCUGCAAGGUGGCAACCUUGGCCAGGUGACGUAAUAGUGGCCCGAUCUUUUCGACCCAGCUUCCUGGACUCCAUGACUACUGUUGCUGCUGGACCCUUAAUACAGGGAAACUAUCAGUCAAUAAUCAGUUGACCCUUUUCAAGUUUUACACGAUACACGAGGAAGUAGUAGAUAUCGUUUCGUUGUAAUAAUCAAGUUUCUAUCGAUUAAUAUAUUGGUGCAGAAGGUUUGAAAUAGUCAUUAUAUAAAUUUUGAUAUUGUUUCAAUUACGAGACUUUUGUCCCCUUGUUCCAAGAUUUAUGUAAGGAAUAUCGGAUUGAAUAGGUGCAUUAGUACUGCCCAUAGUCAAUUCCAUGUGAUAUUUUCUACUACAUAUAAUAUAUUGCUGGAAGUUGCUGCUUCUUUGUCAUCCAUUAUUCUCUAUUCACAACUAUAUUCUUCAUAUUUCAUGAUUCUUUAUACUAUACGAUAGUUAUAUAAAUAGUAAUUGGCUAAUUAUUUCUAUACAACUGCUCUGCUAUAAAUUUAAGAAGUAGUCUCGCUAUUUCCAUUAAGGAAUCCAUCGAUGUUCCAAGUGUCUCUGAACAUCAAGCAUUUUCUUAUUCCACAGUGAUACGCAUAGUCUUCGAUAUUCUACACAGUAGUCGCUGAGUAUUCGUAACGAUGUAACAUCCACCCAUAACGCAUGAUACUCCGAACAAAACGAAUGUAAAUCAGGGCAAUAAAUACUGAAUAAAUUAGUUUGACGAGGAAAGGGGAACGACUCGAUCGUCUGAUUUCCCUGAAAAACAGCAAAAUCGGCGAAAUAGAGUCGCGUAGCCGUGGACCGUGAGAUAAGGUGAUUCGGUUCGAUUUCAAAAAAGCAUCGGCCUCCCGCGGCGAGGAUUCUCGUUCAUCCAUUCAUCCAGCCGCGUGUUACGUUGGUCUUCCACCGCGUGUUGAAAGAAGAGGGCGACGCAGAAGAAGAAGGAACAGAGGUGGAGGAGAAUAGAGCGUACAAUCACGAUGAGUAGCGGCCCUGAGGUGCGAGCCGCGAGUGGAAAGGCUCCCGGGCUGCCAACCUAAUAAAGCAAUUUGUCACGGUUGUCGUCCGAAUGCCAGCCAUACAUUAACACACAAUCUCGCCUCCGAGAUAGUCGGCCUCCGUCCUCUUCGUCUUCCUUCCCUCCGACAUUGGACCAUCCUCACCUUUCCUGUUUUCCUCUUUUUCCAUUUGCCACAUCGAGGCUUUCUCUGUCCACGACUUCGAUCCUUUCGUCACGGUGAAAAAAUCUCUCCUAUUCCGGUGACCAGGUUAAUCCUUCCGACAAUAAGGCGCAGUUAUCUGCAGCAUGAACCCUCAUUUAUCAAUUGAAAAGAAUACGCUAUUAAAAGACCCUCUGGUCUCUUAUUCUUGUGCCAAGAGUUACGACGACGCUUAUUUUUUUAGAUCGAUUUUACGUUAGAAACGUGUUUGGACUACUUUUCUCAUUUAAGAUGGCGGUGGUGUAAGAGAAACUUUAUGUGAAAUUCAUCUAGAAGGUUUACCCGUAGCAUGUUUCGUGCAAUACCAAUUUUACGUGAUUUGUCAUCCUAGUUGUACAUUCAUUACAUUUAUACAACAUUUUAUGUCACAAAAUGAAUGCUAUGGAAUUAUGAAAAAAUAAGUACAGUAUACUGCAAAACAUUGCAAUAUACUGCAAAUUAUUGCCAGAUUAAUCGAACUCUUGCUUAUUGAACUAACCGAUCCUAUUACAUGACCGAAACAAGAUGAAUAGCGAGAAGAACUAACGAAAUCCUAUUACGUAAAUUGUUUGCUCGCUAACGAAUUCAGAUAAGUAGAACUCUACUAGAAUCUUAUUUCCCCUGAGAUACAAAGUAUCAAACAGCUCGAAGUUGCAGCGUGGAUCAUCGCUAACCUACGCGACAGAGAAAAACCGUGUCGAAACUUUCUCCUUCUUUUUAGAUAUCCCAGUUUCGCGUGAUUCCGACCAAGUUCUGUUAUAUAGCUCGAAAACAGAAACAAUAUUAUCUGCCGGUCGAUUCGAAGCACACAACGACCAGCCGGAUUAUUACGCGGUUUUUGCACCGUGACCCUGGAACAACCGGGCUCUCGACGAUGGAUUCUGACUUCCUCCGCGACGUCGUUGUAAAAGCUACGAGAUUCUGCAGCUUCUUGCUACCGGCGAGAAGCAGCACUCUCGAGGUGCGGGACAUUCGUGAUUGAUGGAUCCUCUCUCCGAGUGGUCUCUCCGGCGAAUCAGACUCGGCCACACUCUCUCUUCUCCUAACGUUCGUUCACAGUUCUUCUUCUGUGGUUGCUUUGCAGUUUCUUCUCACCACUAGAACGUACGCCUUCGCAUCCGAUGAGAGUCGGCUUUCUAAUCAAGAAUUAUUGGUCACACUCGACUGGUUGGUUCACCUGGUUCUCCAGAAGGUGGUAGCCAGUAUUCUCCUGCGAUACAACGUAACGCAACCAUGUCACAUGGAGACGGUGUCGAUUCGGCAGAUGAUUGAGACAUUCUCGAAGGUAGAUCGGAAUCGAUCCAAGCACACGGAGGAUUCGAGAUAGCACCUGAGGGGGUGGGUUUCGUGCCGGACGAGCUGGCAUGGAUCCACCGUGUCGUCGACGGUGUUUCCAGUUCAAGGUCAGCGGGAAUCUAGGAUGGGUCGCAUGUCGAAGGAACCAGAGCGACGACGAUGUAUCGGCGUUCGGUGGUCAGCCACAUGGCGAAUUAAGGGUCAGCCCAUUACCGAUUUGACCUCGGAUGACCCGGCAGUGUAUACAGAGCUGGUUGCGUGCUGCUUGAUUCAAUUAACCCCACGACACACAAAUACGCGCGCACACACGCGUAUUGCGUUCUAUGCUUACGCGGACGCGUUUGCACGUGUGGGACCGUCGGUCGAGUGGUCGAAGUGCUUCGGUCGAGGAACGAAGCACGACCGAUGCCACGACAAAUUGGCGAACCUCGUUGUACUCGUGAGGGAAUCGUAGAGAAACGGGGCUGGUGGGGCGAAUUGAAUCUCAGAUACGACAAUUAGAUCGUAGAAACGGGUUUGAGGGAGAAAUCGUCGAAGAGAAUGUAGUUUUCUGGGAAUUACAGUAGUAUUGUAUUAUAAAUGUUUUAAAUGGCCGAUUUAGGUUUUAAGUUCUUGAAGUUUAUGGGUUUGAUGAUUAAGGUGUGGUUUGUAUUUAUAAAAUACACAAAAUAAAGUACUCGUCAUAAUAUUUAGUAAAUAAUAUAAAUAUCUAGAUCCUGUCAUGUUCACAAAAAUAUGGAUUUCAUAAAUUAUCGACUAAGUUAGUUUCUUGAUUUUAAAUUUUCAUUUCCUACGAUUAUCGUAUGCCCUGCUCUAUAACGUCUAAUAUAAUAUUUUUAAUUUCGCAAAAGUUAGAUACUUCUCAUUUUAAACAUCACUGCAAAUAUAUAUAACCACACAUCUCCAAAUUCAGAUCUUUGCUUGACAAGAUAAUUGUAUCUUUGACUUCGCAAAAAUUUCGAACAACUAACUCAGUUCAAUGUCUUUUACGUUACCAAGAUAUCAGAGAGGAAACGAACGAAGCUUCGCGCUUUUAGCGAAGAGAAGAAACACACGUGCCUGUCAAGUAUCGAAAAAUGUAGAAAUCCGACGAUUUUCGCAGACCAACAACGGAACACCACGGUGGCAAAUUACAGGCCAGUUUAAUUCAUAUAUAUAUAUAUAUAUAUAUAUAGAUAUAUAGAUAUAUAUAUAAAUGUAUACACAUAUAUAAAUUGUUUCAAAUUAGCGGUUUAACAGGCGUGUCCAGUAUCAUUAUCUAGAACGUUAGCGGCAGGACGUGGGUGUUAAAACAGAUCAGAAAGUCGUUCGUGGAUCGAUAAGGUUAAAUCGCUCUCUCGUGUUCCGUCUGCAAUUUGCGAAAGGACCUCUUAAUUCGAUGUGGUUUUCUGAGCUCCCCGAACCGACCGUCAGGCACGAACAACGUGUAAAUAUGUAACGAGUUCAUUAGGCUGCUGGUCCGGCGAACUUUCGUGCCCCGCCAUAACGGCGAUCGUCCUGCUAAUUACGGUUUCACCGAAUUUCCGCGAUUAACGACUCCCUGAGUCCACUUCUUUUCCACCUCCCCUUCUCCAAUGUCGGGCAUCGACGUCUUAACGACGAACAGCCUUCAAUGAUGGAACUGAUUAAUCAUGGCUGUCUUUACCCUCCAUCAGUGUAACCCAGAAUUAAAUUUCGCGAAAUAAGUGUAUGUCUACCUGUGUUUAAGCGAAGAAGAGCGGAAACGCUUGAAGAAAUAUAUUCACGAGAGCCUGAUGCAAACGUAAUUAAUCUUAUCAGGCGUUUCGUGUAAUUUUAUAUUGCCAUCCUUCAUCCCUUUCUCUUCGAUAAAUAAAAUUCUUAUAACAUUGUCGGAUAUAUGGGCCAAAUAUUAUAUCUCGACCAUAUAUCAAUUUUUUUCUUUCUCAAUGUUGGGAACUUUGGCCUGACAGCACAAAAAAUUUGUGUUUAUCGUCGUUGCAAACAAAACAUUUCAUUCGCCCGAUGUUCGAAAAUAUCAGAACAAUCAAAGUGGUUAAAAUUACUAAUUCGUAAUUUGUUAUAUAAGUUUUAUAAUUCUUCUAUUGCAGAUAUACACUGCACAUUAUUCUUUAUCCAUAUAUACUCUGAUAUUUUGUUUACGCAAGUUUCCCAUUUUAAUCGUCGAUCCUUCUAGCGUUAAUUUCUCGCAUGUACAUGUAUAAGCGAAUAAGUGAGAUAAGAUUGAAAGAAGCUAUUCCUUACAAGUCUGUAAUGGUCUAAUUGACGUGUGAUCUGGAAAACGAGGAAAAAGAAGGAGCCCUUAGGAAGAACCGAUAUCGUCGAUCUUGAAGAGACAAUCGGCUGGCGCAAUCAGUAUCAUGUUUUCCCCCUCGGUUGCUUUGGUUCCUUUUAUCCUUUUAUGCAACGUUAACGCCCAACAAAUGGACCUCUCGACUUCUAUCGUGUCAACGCAUUUGAUAAGAGGCGAGGUCACCCGGUUACCAGUCAACAGAUGCGUCCAAUUGGCCGGCCUAAUGCUAUUGCAGCAUAGCCGGCAGCGUACCAGCCACAAAAAGUAUACGUGCAUUCGCGUUACCAAGAAAACUAUCCUACCUCCACGCGAAUCCAGAGAAUAUAGCUUACGAAGUAAGUAAAUUGAAGAGGAACGCUGUUAUCCGAGUUCGUAUUUUCCUCUGAUUCGAACUAGUUUGUUGGAACAGCGAUUUAUUUCACGGAAAAAGCGGUGGAACGAGAACAAGAAACGAGCCGAGGAAUCGUGCGAACAUAGGUUUCUAGAUUUAGAUUGCUCGUUAAUUCAGCCUUUACUUUGUGUUACGACAAAUUGGCUGGCGUUAAGAUUCAGGAGUAAUUCAAAUUGAAGGGUUCAGUGAAGGGAAAGUGAUAUAGGUGAUGAAAUAUUUAAUUUGAGGAGAGCGUGAGUGUAAUUAAACUGUGAUAUAGAAAUCAGUAUGCCUUCGAACAUUAACCCUUUGCACCUCUAUCUUUUUACACGAAUAGACGCGAAUAGAAUCGAUGAUCGGAGCAGAUUCAAGAUAUCACUUCGAACAGUUAAAAUACCUUGUCUUACGUAGACGUUAAAAUUUGGAGAUUUAUAAUAAUCUUUGUAAAAAUCCCUCUUCUAGGAAAGUACGAAUACACACAUCGCACAUACGGUGGAUCAUUUCAUGUACUUGCAUCGUUUCACAAAAAAUCCAUCAAUUAUAAUUUCUCGAUCAUUAACGUGAUACUUAUCAUACGUUAUAAAAUUAUCCUUAAAUUAUUGUAAAACGUCUCAUUCCUUUUUUCCCGAAACUUUACAAAGAUCCAUCCUAAUCUCUAAUUAAAACAAAAUUUACCAGUAGAAAAAUAGCCGAGACUUUUUGUCGUCAUCGAAAGAAACCCACUUUCAGACGCAUUAACUGAAAGUUACACGACACCCUGAUAUUAGUAUUCGCGAGAUAAAACUCGUUUAAUUCCCAUUCCAGCGCGACAAUACGCACUCAACUAGGUACGCGUGCAUUAACGUGUAUGUACAUACGUAAUCCUGUUCAACGAGCAUCCUUAAGUGUAACUUAACUUAACGCGUAAUGCACCCUAUGAUAUUAGGGAGAGCGCGUACGAACGAACGAACAAUGUGUGUGCGUGUGCGACGAUAGUUUAUCCUUUUUCGAUGUACUGACUUGAACCCAUCGCCGUAUAUGUGCGUGAACGCAUUUACGGAGCCCUUCGCGUUUGCACUUCAACCGACUGCUUCUCGCGCACCACUCUCCCCAUCGAUGCUGCGUUCCCUCACCCCCUGGACCCCUCAUCAAACCCCUCGUAGCCUGAUUGAAUCUACUCCGCGUGCGGCUUUUAUUUCGCGCCGUGGAAACCCGAGCCAAUCCGUUCUCGUUCCACGAACUGCGGCGCGCCGAAAGUCACGUUUUGUUACUGGAGCGUCCGUCGAGAUUUUUUCAAUUAGCCGCGUCUAUCCCCCAACACGUGAAAGUGCUUUUGUUCUUUUCGCGGACGUUGCCCAUCGUCAUGGUAUUCCGCUGUUGAUGGAAAUGUCGAGGAAUCGCUGCUGUGUACGAUCCUUGUAUCUUUGGUUUCUACAAGAUAAAUUUUAGAGAGAACCUUUUGAGGAAUUUUUAGUUUCUAAGGAUUCUAAGGACUAGUAGAAUAUGUUUUGAAUUACGUGGUAAAUCUCGAGGAAAUUUAAAAGACUGUCUAAGAAAUUUUCUAAUUUUCAGGGCUGAUUUUCAGUUCUAAGCUGAUUAGUAUUAGCGAGGAUGGUUAACAUAAGUAUUCCCUUGAAUAAGGAAUAAAUAAGACUCAGAUAAGUAAGACUUUUGAAGAGUUUUCUAAGAAAUUUGGAAAAUAUUAAAUCUCGCAAAGUUCUAAAUAAUCUUUUGAAAAAUUUCUUAAUUCGCAAUGACGCAACUUCUCGACUAAAAUAGCUAUAAUUCGUGAAGGUAAGGUGAAUAUCUGGAGAAGGAGAUGAACCGAGGGUUUUCAAUCUAGGACAUUCGACGGCUCAUGGGAUCGUCGAAUUGCGGAGUCUGCAAUCGUACCACGGCCCGAAGUUUUGAUGUCACAAGUUUCUCCUGGAUGUCGAGAGUGGUUGUUAAAAGGAGGUGUCGCAAUCGUGGUCGGCCGAGCCACUGUGCUGCUGUAGCCCUGGACUGCGCAACUCCUCGUCUUUCCGUAAUCUCUUGAAUAUACGAACUCGUAUUACGUCCUACCUGGUGUACACGCGACGUGCGUGUGUGUCCACGUGCUUUUACAACUGGAACUCGCGUUAUUGCGUUCUUGCCUACGCCGCGUGGCAAUUAUAAUUUUCGAGGUUUACGGCUGGCGAGUGCGGUUAUUUUUUUCAUUCUUUCGUUUUUGCAGUCACGCUGCGGAUUCCGCCGGCUAAAUUCGCGUUGAGCGGAUUUUACGCGUACAACUACCACAGCCGGGGCAAAUUAGGUUCAAUUAUUUAUUCUUGGAACCGAGGAGGGGGCGUUCAAACUUGGAACGUCUGCUAGAGAGCUCUCGUUUCUACAUUCUAAUUUCCAUCUUAAUAGAGCCGCUUCGAAAACUCUAUAUAUUUCCCAUCUAUUUUUCCACAAUUUAAAAAAUAAUCAAAUAAUUUGAAGAAUUGACAACGAUAAGAAAGCAGCUCGAGUAUUUAAAUCGUAUUUAUUAGAGGAAAAAGAAAGCUAUAGGUUUCCUAUUCAAAAGUGCAAAUCUUUAUCACUACGAAUAUUAAUCGGCUAUGAAUUUAUAGCGCGUUUAAGAAGUCAUUUGAUUUUGACUGAUUCUGUGUUGAUUUUCGUUGAUUUAUACACAUUAGUGGAAUUAGAACGGAUAUGGAAUUAAAAAGAGGAGUUGCUUACUUAUUGCUACCCUUUUAAAUAUUAUCUCCGUCUUAUUUUCAAGAAAAUCUUUAUUUCCACUGAUUUGUAAUAAUAGAAUCUUAAUAACGACUUUAUAGCCACAAGCCCGAGAUGAGUCGCUAUAGAAGUCAAAUCGCAAAUUAAGCCCGCUUACUUGGUGGUCCACGCGUCAGGGUCCAACGAAUGCACUGAACUGGAAUCGCGCGCUGUCCCCACGGAAUUCGUCGCCGCAGAAACGUCGUCGGUACGCGAUGUCACCCUCCUGCGGCAAUUAAACUAUCCCAUUCGACAAGUCCCGAUUCCAAGAUCAGAUUCUCUUCAAACGCAUUCACGCUCUAUGCGAACACGCAUUUGUCGCGUGAACGCGUACAGAUAAUCACACGUGUGUGCACAAUUCUCUAUCCGUUGGUCAUUUCGUUCCUCUAAUUCCAAUUCCAUUACUGUAUUCAUUAGAAAGUAUUUUAUGAUGAGAUUGAUGCAAUACCUUCACAUAAUCGUUAGUCAUUAGCAUAGAGACUAUAGUUGACGAGAUUAAUUUCGAAGUCGCUAAAUCUAGAAAAUUCAAUAGCUUCAUAAAAGGGAUGGAUUUAGAAAUAGAAUUUUAUUAUGAUUAUUAAUGUAGUUCUAAUGGAGUUCUUAGGUUUGGGAAAAUUAUUUAUUUAUUCCUUUGAAAAAGGGGGUGAGUUUACAUUAAAUGUUACUUAUUUAACUUAAUUUAACUUAAUUAAUAUGGGCACUCGAUUCAUUAACGUAUUAUCUUACUAUGAUUGUUGGUAUAAAGACCAACAUAAUGGUAUUAAUCAUGGAAAUUAAUUCCAGAACUGUCAAUCUUGAAAAAUUUAUUUCUUCGAAACAAGGAAAUUUCUUGUGGAAUUUGUUAUAAACGAUACCUUGAUUAAUACGAGUAAACUUAAUUCUUUUAAGAUUUCAGAAUGGAUUUCUAAACGUGAGAAAAUGAUCCCAAGACGAACGAGGAGUCACACCAUGACAAGAUGAUCCCAACGGCGACCCACAAAAUCCUCCGUGGCCAGAUCGUAUUAGGCUAAUGUACAUAAAGCCCGGUCUUGGGAAGAGAGGAACGCAUAGGGAGUCGGCAAGAGAGACUAGACUAGAGAAGAGGGUGAGCUUUGAUUGGUCCAUUGAGGACACGUGCUGGCAACCCCGACGUGGGCCAGCCCUCUGGCUGUGCAUCUCGUUACGAACUCAUUCAGGAACUCCAACGUCGCCAAUGACGGAAUCAAGUGGGAUUGUUAACGGGGGCACCGUAGGUGGCUGGGACAGAGAGAAGGCGAUAGAGAUCAGGACCUAAUGACAAUGACGAUAUAAUCAGACAGGAUAAUUCACUUUACAUGAUCGUCACGAGCCACUGCGGGAUUCUCCAGUCUUAUCCCAACAGAGAACCGAUUCCAACUCAACGUUCCUUUGAUCCCCCAAAAGCAAAUCAUAUCGUGCGGAUGCAUUUGUACGAUUCUAGAUCCCCAUUGAUAAGGUUCUCGCGAAGGAAUCGAUGUUGUUGGAUUGGAACCAAGAGGGAAGGGUAGAAUAGAAGACUCUUGAAAGUGGUCGUAAUACUGCUACAAUUAGAUUAGACGUGCAUACGUGUAUAUACAUAUGAGAGACGAAACAAAAGUAGAUGAAAUAGAAGUGAGAAAAAAUAGAACGAAGGGGAAGAAGGAGACGGAAAGGAGAAAGAGUAGCGGUCGACGUUCCCAUGUGUUCCUACGAAGUCGAUCAACCUGGUUUGUUCGAGCGAGCAUGUGGGCCAACAAUGCCCACUUCGGGAGCAACCGCGACGCACUUCACUUCGUCCAUUAUUCCGUCCACGUUUCCAUGUGGCUGGGGUGCCGGGGGUAUUCCCCGUUGCCAACAACAUCGCAGCCAGAAACUACCCAAGCCUUCACGGUACACGAAGAGGGUUCUCCAGCGCACCGGCCACUGUUGAAAGACCCUGAAGUGCACUCCUUGAAAUUCGCUACGCGGCAAGUAGCGUCGAGUCGGAUGGCGCUACCUGCGUCCUCGAGCGGUGAUGAAGUCGAGGGAAGCCCUUCAAGCAGACAGGGGGGGUUGGGUGACCAAAUUUUUGGUUACCGCCAGAGGCUCGUCUCUUCUUCGUCCAUCGUCGUCCUUUCGUUAGCCGCGUUUCUAUCUACUUUUCAUGCGUGAUUCGGAUUACGAGUCUGCGGUGUUGUGGUGCUCACUAUAAUUGGAGGAUCGCCUGUGCAAAUGACUUUAUUGUUCGGUGUUUUCAGUCACGUACAGUACGCUGUCUAAGUUGCAAAUGUGGGAGAAAUAUUUUGGAAUAAAUUCAAUUACCGAAUAUGUGUAUGAAAUAUCUUUUACUGGAAUGUUUUAUUCUCUUUUAUUUUAUUUUGUUUUUCUUUUUUUUUCAGGGAAUUUUUGAUAUAGUAUUUAGAAGAAUAUUUUAACACAACUACUAGUUAUCGUAUCAAAUGAAACUCUUCUGUGUUUUAAUCUUGCUUAAAACUUUUUGUACAUUCUAAAAAAUUGUCUUGCAUAACAUUUUCAGUAGGUUAAUGAAAUCUGUAUCAAUUUUAAAUUCAUUUAACAGUGUUCCUAACCCGUGUAAUUUAUCCAGAGCGGCCAUUUUCCGAUCCGCAACGACAGUUUCAAUUCUUAGCUGGUUGGACCCUCGAGUCUGGCUCUCCUUUAGAUCGGUUAGAGGUGCGGGUACGGAUGUGAAAGAGAAACGUACGUAUGUACAUUCGUUGGUAGCCGAACGAAGGGUGAAACAAUAAGCGACGAACGACAAUGAGGAUUUAAGUGGCGACCUCAAUGAUAUCAACUGCACGCUGGAAUAGAAUUCAAUUGAAUUGAAGGAACAGCAAGGGGAGUCCUCCUCCUCCCCUCUACCUUUAUGUCUCUCUUCUGGACAACGUUUUGUAAGCACUUCAUCAACGUGUUUAGUACUUUCCGCGUAACAACUUGACGUCCAACAAAAUUCUCAAGCUUCAAGCUUGAUUUACGUCUACGUUGCUCAUCUCGAAUUGAAAAUACCUGAUAACCAACCGUUGGUAUACGUAAAGUUCUCAAGACCGAUGAUCUAAUCAAUUCUCAAGGCUUUUCAUUAAAAUCUAAUUGACAUAUUACCGUCUUCCUCCGUAUCAUCGAGAAUUCCUUGAAACGUACCUGGUUCCUAGAUUUUAUAUUGCAAUUUCAUAAAUUGAUAGCUGUCAAUUAACUACAUAAAUGAGGCUUAGGAUUAUCUAAGGAUAUCUUCGAUUGAUAGAAACGAAGAUGUACGUUAGGAACAUCUAGCCAAGAUUUCCACUUUUGAUAUCGAGUUUUGUUAUAAAACUGUUCAUUUAAGGGAUAACUACCUGGUAAUCCUCUUCUUCUUCAAGCCAUUUCUCUCGGUGGAAUAUCAGGCGUCGUUCUCUUCUGUAUAUCGCGCAUGUAGAUGUAUAUGGGAAUCGGUCGAGUGUUUUCAGCGUCGAUCCGUGACGCAACAGCAUCAUCUACAUAAUUAAUAGAACCGUUUAUGCGUCUACGUGUAGCUACAAACAGGGCUGGCAUGUAGUUAAUACAUCGUGUCGGGCGAUCGCGCGCGAUUAUGAUUUCAUUGCUAAAAGCUAUAUGAGCUUUAUCGGGCCAUAUAAAGGCAUUAUCAAGCGUGUAUCCAGCCAUUAGCUGAACACACGCGAAAACAAAUAAACAACAUGGAAACUGAAAACAUCAAACGCGAUCUGUUCACAUCGACUUUCUUUAUGCAUAUAAUGUAAUAAUGUUAAAGUAUCGUACGACUUGUAAUAUUUAUUAUAUCGCGAUUAAAAUGUAACAAAUUAUUUCUUUGACGUGGAACAACCACUUACGACUAUUAAUUCUCGUUAUUUUUAAACGAUCGUAGCAUUUUCGUCGAUGUCUUCAUCAUAGGCAGUUCCGUUUCUUUAACCUUGGUACACGAAGAACUAUGAAAGACGUAUCGACCGCUAUGGUGGCGCCAUCUCUUCAGGAAGUGGCGAACCAAACUCUCGUGCAUACCAGAAUCGGUUCGUGCCGGCGGAACAGAGGCUUUAUCCCACUUUAUACGGCACUCCAUAAAACCUCCAAGUACCAUGGCCCGCGUAUACGAGUCAUAUUCGCGUCUGAGACUUUGAUCGAAGUUUCGUUAACGAAACUGCAUUUUAAGUAUCGCGAAAAAACCUCUAACGUUACGAUUUAUACACUCAGAAUCGAAGGAUGUUCGUCUGAUUCGUCAGAAUGGACCUAAUGGCAUGUACCUCGGCUAAUUGGGUCCUCGAUUUUAAACAUAAUUCCGUAUCUUAAUGCAGAACGGAAUAUCGAGUAGUCGAUUGCUAGCAAUAACCCUCAUUAUGUACUUCCUUUUCAUAAUAUCAAGCGGUUUACAAUUUACCAGAACCGCUCGAACGCUUAUUCCGAAUAUAAUCAACUUCCAUGAAACAAAUAUCGUACUUUUCGACUAUCAAAUUUUCCAUCGAUAAUUUUAAUUACAUGAGAGACUUUACGUUCGAAAACUUUAAUUUAAAGCAUAAAGUCUGGUAUAUUAAUACAAAUAGAGAAAGUUAAAAAUGACAUUCAUAUAUUUCUAAAAUUCUCAGCCUCACCCAAUAUCACCCAAAUUGCGUAUACCAUAGAAUAAAUAUUUCAAGAAAACCCGAUUAUAUGUUUACGGAGAAAUCUCUGCGCCUCCUUAGCAGCACCAAAGAUUUAAAUUAUUCCAUCGAAUGAAUACUUCGAUAAAAUCAUAUGUAUAUAUUUACAAAGAAAUUUCUAUUUCACCCAACAACAGCCAAGAUCCAGAUCACUUCACCGAACAAGUAUUUCGAAAGGAUACAAAGAAUAUAUUCGAAUAGAUCCAAAUCACAUCACCAACGAAAGUAAUUCAUAUCUCCAUAGAGAAAUUGCUAGCCUCGUCCAAGGCUCAAAUUACUCCACCGUUAAAUAAAUACUCCAAGAAUGAAAUUUAUCGUCGAUUUAGAUCACUACGAAUAAGUGUCCACAUGCUCAUUGACCAAAAUCGUCGAAAGCAGGGACCACGCUCGAGUGUCUCUCUCAGCGUCGAUGAGAAAAUCCGUGUCCCAUAAAAGUCAAAAGCUUAACGUGACGCAGUCACUAUUUCAUUUUCGCCAUAGUCGAACUUGGUAAAGAUUGGUCGCGACGAGAGGUCCGAAGAAUGUCGACGGUCGUUUUCUCCGUGCACGUAUAGGCGACAUCGCGGAGCUGGCGUGUAUAAAAGAAUCGCGGCGGAGAGCAACUUAGAAGGCGACGACGUCUGUUUAAAGUCGUCCCACGGGCACCUACGAUCCUGUUGGAAAGGACCAAUGACCGAACGGGGGCCCAUGGAAGGAGCCAAUCGUGCUAUAGGAACGCGCGGUAUCCAGGACUCUCGGUAAAAACCAUCAAACGAAGCCGCCGGCAUUCACGGAAAGCAGCGACCCUGCUGCACCCUCUCUUCGACCGUGUCCACCUUGCGUCCUUCCUGCUGCAUCGACCGCAUUUUUUCCGUUGCCAUCGAUCGUGCCGUUCACCGUUCGCGAAAAAGAUCGUUCGGGGGAAAGGAAAGUAAUCCCGGUACGCGGGAUAGUGCUAAAACUCGACGUAGCGGUAUCUCGCGAUGCACUCGUCCGCUCUUCGUCCUUUUAUGUUCGCUCUGAUUCUGAUUCCGAGAGACUGAUUCGUUUAAAUCAGAUCGGAAUUUGCAGUGUGUUAUUCGGUUGCGUUAUUGAGAGACCAUUUCUAUCGUGCGUCUAUGCAAAUGUUCUGGUUAUCGAAUUUUAUGAACUAGGUUCCUCCACAUGAGGAUGGAAAGUUGGAUUUACUUCCUGGGGGAACUGGAAGAAAGCACGAAGCGAAGGUAUAAAACGUUUAUCGGUCGUUUUGUUAGCGACGAUUCGCUGCAGCGAAUUUUAGAUCAUCAGUGUCAAUAAACCGCAAUUUUACUGAAAUGAAAGGAUUUCAGAAAGUUCCCUUUCACUCUUCGUUUCUUCGGCCUCUGACUGGGAAAUGGUAUUUGCUCCAUAUGUGGUGAACGUUUCCCUUUUUCCGACGGUUGGCGAUAUCGCAAGGGUUUUGUGAUAGACGCUCGCUGCUUAGACACUUAGGACGUGUUAUAAUUUAUUAGCUGAAUUCGCAAUUGUUAUGUAAGAAUGUACAUCUGGACUUCUUCUUGUCCCGUCGACUGCAUUCUCGCCGUCGCAUCCAUCAUGCCGUUUACUGGAAAAAGCCCCGUGAAAUGAAGACAACCGACGCGACGACCGGCGAUGGUUAAUGUAUUAUUCUUCUCAUCCCGUUAUGGUGUUGUUUUCUUGCUAAGUUCUUGCAUUUAGCGCCGAUUAUCAUUAAUACGAUUAACACGAGCUUAAUUCGUUCGAAUAAAUAAAAUACAUAGUCGUAGUAAAGAAACAGAAAAAUUAAUAUUCCCGGUAAUAUUAAUAAACAAAAAUAGUCUGUUUAACACGAUAAUAACGGAAGAAAAUUCCAAACACGAGUACAACUCUCGGAAUAAAUAAUGGUAAAGGAAGAGUCUCAACGAUCAUCGGACGAUCCAAGGAGCGUCUUUCAUUUCAACCUCCAAAUCUCGAACCCGAAGACAGUCCUCGAUGGACUGUCAUUACGAGAAAAUAAGGCGAGCUCUAAUGUUAGGGGUCUGUGGAACUGGUUCGGUUCCAAAAUUCUCAGCAAUGGAACAAAGGACUGUCACAAGCACGCCAUGUACUACCGAAACACAAAUCACAAGAAUAUAACAAGAAAAUUGAGAAAAAUAAAUUACGAAUGUUAAAUGAAAGAUAGCGGAUCGUAUUGAAAUUGCAGAUUCUGAUAAAUAGGCAAACCAUAACAGCGUGAUAGCCAAUGGGGAUAAUAAAACUGUUGUUUACGAUGCGAAAAAGUUGCGCAAAAAGGCUUAUCGCACGCUGUGUAUUUCUGUCGAUCGAAGGGAUUCAUCGGUGUCUUUUUACUUCUGUUUUCCGCGCACCAAAUUGCUGUCCGAUAAUUUACGAGAAACCAAGGCUUACCACGGUAUUCACUUAGCACCACUUACGCCACCGGUACGUAAUUGCAUAGAUCAAUUAGGCUGUCCUUGCCGUUAAAUUCAAGCGGAAUUAGCCGGCAGCAAGACUAACGCUUUUACGCUAUCUGGAAGAAUGCGUUUACUAUAAUGAACCACUCGUUCCGAUUCUCCUGCAACGUCUUAAUUUGUAUACAAAGGCUAAACGAACAAACAAUAUUUAGGAGUUGCAUUUGCAUCGCGCGAUAGUGCACAUCGAUGGUUCGAUUAUCACAAAGAUCAGACUGAUUACUCAACUGUUGAUUUUUAUGUAUUUAUAAAAAAUUUGAGAGCACGCAAAAACAUAAUUAAAUGCCCAAAGUGCACUACCUUUUCUAAUAUUAAGUAGUCGAAAGAAAUCUUUACUUAGGUUUCAUUUCUUCGAUCGUGUUUAUAUAAAAAUAUAAAUUUUCCUAAAUAUCUACAGUCUACUCGCACGUAUACCUAUGAACUUCCUGAUACAUCAUCUAUCUUUGAUUGAAAUAAAAAUUCAACAUGUUGCUAGCAGCAGUACAAAGCUACUACAGAGGCAAAGAUAAAAAGAAUAAGUAUACUACGAUGAAAAGGAAUAAAAAUCUACAGUUUUGUUACAACUGUGCAAUUUUCAGCUUUCGUCUCUGGCUUCCAUUGCUAGAUACUACAGGUAUAGUUUAUCAUUUUCGUUAUCUUCCGAUCGUCACGUCCGCGACACGGGCUACGUUUUAUGAAUUAUUAUUAGAUUAUACCAAUGGAAUGACACGAUAUCCCACGACUUGUGGGUUCACGGUGAGCAAGUGCACAACAAUGUUGAACCACCGUCGUGUUGGUGUAAUUAAGAUAAGAAUAAUGAACUUCUAAUGGGCACUCAUCGACGAAAUGUAGGCAUAAAACGACUAUAGAGAAGAUUAGAAAAGUAGAACGUUUACGUCGCUUAUUUAGUUAAUUAUUUCGCGUUGCGUAAUAGACAGCUCUGUCGUGACGAUACAUGCCCGUUGUGAAAAUAGUAACUUAUGCAAUGUAAAACUCAUCGGUAAAUAUUAUCAAUCGACACGGCGAGGAUCGAUAAAUUCAGAGCGGAAGCUAACACGUAUAGCAAAUUGUACACGCUUCCUGUCUCCUUAAUUGCAUAUUAUGCAACAAUAUACGAGUGUAAGUACGUUUGAAUCAGUAACCUGGCCAACAAUCGAUCAAGCAUAAAGACGUUAAAUUGUUUCUUGGCGCUACUUUUUUAGUAAAUUGACAUCAUCAUUGGAAAAAGCUGUAAUUUCAGUCAUCGAUUCACAAGGUGAGCAUAAUUGAUGUAUCGUCUGCUUAAAUGUAACAUGAUGUUUGUGGAAUAAAUUAUUCCUCCUUUGUAAAAUAUUUUCCAUAUUUAUAAUUACGUUUAAAACAUACAUAAUUUUCGUUGAAUAUAAAGAACACGUGUUGUCGAUGGUUCAUCGUUAUUUGAUCCUCGUCAUCAUCUCUCGGUAGAUCGUUAGGAGGUAUCUUCCGGUUCCGUAGGGAGUCGACAAGAGCCGGACAAAACACCAUAAACCAUAUUAAGCAGACUCAUAAACUGCGCCUUAUAUGUGCCGACACAUGCCGUCUGAUUUCAAAUCCCGGGAAGCAGCUCGAUCAAGCUGCUUCUGCCUUGAUACAUAGCCGGGGUGUGUCGUAUAAUAUAUAUUUAUUGAGACAAUAAACCGCAAUUAUGGCCAUCAUAUAACUCGCUAACUAACCCUUUCGUAGUCUCCCUUCUCUUUUCUUUUCUCGAUAUAGAAAAAGGAUUUUUUGGUAUCCAUCGCUGGCGCCUCUAGAGUGAUGAAAAAUUUCUGCACAAAAAUAUCAAGUAAGAUAAUCACUUGAAUGACGAUCUUCCUUCUUUCCUCCUUUAACUCACUGAUUUUCUACUUCUCUCCCUUCCUAUGCUGUCCUUAAUAGAAGAGAUAAACGAGAAAAGAUUUUUGUGCAAUCAUAGCCGGCGCCUUUAGCCUAUUGGGGAAAUUUCUUUGCGAAAGAAUUAAACGCAAAACCGUGUUUGAGCUACAACUUUUUAAAUUCAAUCUGUUUUUAA